GGAAGCCGGGAUGUUAGGGCUGGUCCUAGCGCCCUUUCCAUUUCUCCUCUUUCCGAAUCCCGAGGGCGAAAAAGAGCCCAAAAAAGAAAAAAAAAAGAGAGAGAGAGAAGGGCAUAAUGCAGGAUAAUUCACAGUUCUCGACCAUAGCUUAUUCUUACGAAUGAUUACGAGGGACUUAGUUUUAGCCCACAAUGUCGUAACUAGAUUCAUUGGAGCGGACGACGAUAUUGACAGCAAACGGACAAAGGGAAAAGAGAUAAUUUUACGUUUCAGGAUAGAAAACGGUUGUGGGAAAACAGGCUGGGUGGUUUCGGUAUUUCCCUUGUCCAUGAAAACAAUUCCUGAAGGCCCUCGUGCUGAUGGGGGAUUCAACGAGCAUAAUAACAGCGACCAAGCGCAUUCUCAGGAUGGACAACAGGGGCCAUCAUCCGCUCACCUGGCGGGCUUAGCAACAUCUGGCGAGCAACAGAUAUGCGACGUUGAGACGGACGAAAAAUCGAGAGGAGAAUGGAAUAACGGCAAGGGGUUAAUUGAGGCCGAAAAUGUUCUCUCGGGCACAGGAGCCAUCGAUGACGACGACAACGACAACGACAACAACAAUGAUAAUAAUGUAGUGG
Molecule: small RNA, 617 nt
Filed under: Histoplasma capsulatum var. duboisii H88
Lineage: Eukaryota; Fungi; Ascomycota; Eurotiomycetes; Onygenales; Ajellomycetaceae
Description: Histoplasma capsulatum H88 hypothetical RNA
Source: RNAcentral